RNAcentral lists this ribosomal RNA (564 nucleotides) under uncultured bacterium. Its description in RNAcentral is "partial 16S ribosomal RNA". It matches the Rfam family "Bacterial small subunit ribosomal RNA", at positions 355 to 1375 of the family's 1533-position model. The record is from RNAcentral.
UGGGGAAUAUUGCACAAUGGGCGAAAGCCUGAUGCAGCAACGCCGCGUGAGUGAUGAAGGCCUUCGGGUUGUAAAGCUCUGUCUUUUGGGACGAUAAUGACGGUACCAAAGGAGGAAGCCACGGCUAACUACGUGCCAGCAGCCGCGGUAAUACGUAGGUGGCAAGCGUUGUCCGGAUUUACUGGGCGUAAAGGAUGCGUAGGCGGAUUUUUAAGUGAGAUGUGAAAACCCUAAGCUUAACUUGGGGACUGCAUUUCAUACUGGAAAUCUAGAGUGCGGGAGAGGAGAAUGGAAUUCCUAGUGUAGCGGUGAAAUGCGUAGAGAUUAGGAAGAACACCAGUGGCGAAGGCGAUUCUCUGGACCGUAACUGACGCUGAGGCAUGAAAGCGUGGGUAGCAAAACAGGAUUAGAUACCCUGGUAGUCCACGCCGUAAACGAUGAGUACUAGGUGUAGGAGGUAUCGACCCCUUCUGUGCCGCAGUUAACACAAUAAGUACUCCGCCUGGGAAGUACGAUCGCAAGAUUAAAACUCAAAGGAAUUGACGGGGUCAUAGCUGUUUUCCU